GACGAACGCUGGCGGCGUGCUUAACACAUGCAAGUCGAACGGAAAGGCCCUGCUUUUGUGGGGUGCUCGAGUGGCGAACGGGUGAGUAACACGUGAGUAACCUGCCCUUGACUUUGGGAUAACUUCAGGAAACUGGGGCUAAUACCGGAUAGGAGCUCCUGCUGCAUGGUGGGGGUUGGAAAGUUUCGGCGGUUGGGGAUGGACUCGCGGCUUAUCAGCUUGUUGGUGGGGUAGUGGCUUACCAAGGCUUUGACGGGUAGCCGGCCUGAGAGGGUGACCGGCCACAGUGGGACUGAGAUACGGCCCAGACUCCUACGGGAGGCAGUAGUGGGGAAUAUUGCACAAUGGGCGGAAGCAUGAUGCAGCAACGCCGCGUGCGGGAUGACGGCCUUCGGGUUGUAAACCGCUUUCGCCUGUGACGAAGCGUGAGUGACGGUAAUGGGUAAAGAAGCACCGGCUAACUACGUG
RNAcentral lists this ribosomal RNA (468 nucleotides) under uncultured bacterium. RNAcentral describes it as "partial 16S ribosomal RNA". It matches the Rfam family "Bacterial small subunit ribosomal RNA", at positions 28 to 507 of the family's 1533-position model. The record is from RNAcentral.